ACAGAAAUCUGCAGAGACCUUCUUGUCGGAGAUUCGAUGGGAAAAAAACAUCACGUUGGGAGAACCGCCUGGGUUUUUGCACUCGUGGUGGUGUGUAUUUGGGGACCUUUACUGUGCAGCUCCUCAAAGGAGAGACACUUGUGAACAUUCAAGUGAAGCAAAAGCCUUUCAUGAUUAUAGUGCAGCAGCUGCCCCGAGCCCCGUGCUUGGCAACAUUCCCCCCAACGAUGGGAUGCCGGGAGGCCCCAUCCCGCCAGGUUUCUUUCAGGGUCCUCCGGGGUCACAGCCCUCGCCGCACGCACAGCCUCCACCUCACAAUCCUAGCAGCAUGAUGGGACCCCACAGUCAGCCUUUUAUGUCACCGCGAUACGUAGGCGGCCCCGGGCCCCCGAUCAGAAUGGGAAACCAGCCUCCGGGAGGAGUUCUUGGGACACAGCCAUUGCUGCCCAAUUCUAUGGAUCCCACACGACAACAAGGCCACCCCAACAUGGGAGGAUCAAUGCAGAGAAUGAACCCUCCCCGAGGCAUGGGGCCCAUGGGUCCCGGCCCACAGAAUUACGGCAGCGGCAUGAGACCACCACCCAACUCCCUCGGCCCGCCAUGCCCGGGAUUAACAUGGGCCCGGGAGCUGGCAGACCCUGGCCCAAUCCUAACAGUGCUAACUCAAUUCCAUAUUCCUCCUCAUCACCUGGUACCUAUGUGGGACCCCCGGUGGUGGCGGCCCUCCAGGAACACCCAUUAUGCCCAGUCCCGCAGAUUCAACAAAUUCCAGUGACAACAUCUACACAAUGACCUGGCGGCAGGUCCAACUUCCCGAUGGGUCCCGGCUCGGACGGUCCGAUGGGCGGCAUGGGUGGCAUGGAGCCACACCACAUGAAUGGAUCAUUAGGGUCAGGCGACAUAGACGGACUUCCAAAAAAUUCUCCUAACAACAUAAGUGGCAUUAGCAAUCCUCCAGGCACCCCUCGAGAUGACGGCGAGCUAGGAGGGAGCUUCCUCCACUCCUUUCAGAAUGACAAUUAUUCUCCAAG
Molecule: long non-coding RNA, 1031 nt
Filed under: Homo sapiens (human)
Lineage: Eukaryota; Metazoa; Chordata; Mammalia; Primates; Hominidae
Description: non-protein coding lnc-CDK13-9:1
Source: RNAcentral